Molecule: non-coding RNA, 20 nt
Filed under: Arabidopsis thaliana (thale cress)
Lineage: Eukaryota; Viridiplantae; Streptophyta; Magnoliopsida; Brassicales; Brassicaceae
Source: RNAcentral
CUGGUGGUGGCUUGAGACGU